UGCAUCGGCCGGGAAUUGAACCCGGGCCACCCGCGUGGCAGGCGAGCAUUCUACCACUGAACCAUCGAUGC
RNAcentral lists this transfer RNA (71 nucleotides) under Cordylochernes scorpioides. RNAcentral describes it as "tRNA-Gly". The record is from RNAcentral. Lineage: Eukaryota; Metazoa; Arthropoda; Arachnida; Pseudoscorpiones; Chernetidae.